AUUUUCUUAUGAGAUUAUUUUGUUUACUUGUGUAAUAGAAGUGUUAGUGUAGAAUUUAUUUUAUAUCUGUCUGAAUGUAAAUCCAGGAUAUACAAUGCUGUAUGAUGUAGGGUAAGUGCAUGUCAACAUGGAUUACACAAUCUAGAUUUUUUUUUAGUGUAAUGAAAAACAUUUGCUGUGAGCAAGUUGUUUCAAUACAUAUAUCUGAAUAUAGUCCCCAAAUAUUGAACAAGUAAUUUAUUUCUAUUUUCAUGUGUUUCUUAUUGAAUGGACCAUAUGUAAAGUUUAAUUAAACACGUCUCUUUGUUAAGUCUUUGGUCUGGAAAUCGAAAUUUAAAACAAAUACAAAACAUGUGAGAUAGGAGUGUCUUAUUUAGUCCUGGUAUCUAUGAUGAGUUUAUUUAUUGUAGUUUGCUUCAUCAUGUGUUUGUCAGAUUUAAAUACAUUAUAUUGUACCACACCGUCAAUCUAUGAAUCCCAGAUUCAAAUCAUCUUUAAAAAAAUCACGUUUUUCAAGAAUGGUGUCUUGUAUCAUAUGUGUACAAGUAAGUGCUUGAACUGCUGAAAAAGAUGUGACAAGACGAAACAAUCUUUUUUUUUAAUGUCAAUAACAUCUUUUUGUUAUUUAUAUGUUAUUGUUCAAGGAAAAUUAAUCCCUGCUUAUUAAAUUUAUUAAUCAUCUAAAAAUUAUGAAUUGAUACAUCUGUUU
RNAcentral lists this long non-coding RNA (709 nucleotides) under Mytilus galloprovincialis (Mediterranean mussel). Lineage: Eukaryota; Metazoa; Mollusca; Bivalvia; Mytilida; Mytilidae. The record is from RNAcentral.